GAGGGUAGGUCCCUCGGUAUCGCCUUGCAGGAGGGGAUACCAAACCACCUUAAGCGGCUGAGGACAAAAUCCUCGGUCGUGAGCGUUAAGGAAAAGGCGCUAUUGAAAGCGUCAGGU
Non-coding RNA from Candidatus Glomeribacter gigasporarum BEG34, 117 nucleotides. The record is from Rfam. Lineage: Bacteria; Pseudomonadati; Pseudomonadota; Betaproteobacteria; Burkholderiales; Burkholderiaceae.